Lathyrus oleraceus (garden pea) is the source of this 1223-nucleotide long non-coding RNA. RefSeq lists it as uncharacterized. The transcript is spliced from 3 exons. Lineage: Eukaryota; Viridiplantae; Streptophyta; Magnoliopsida; Fabales; Fabaceae. The record is from RefSeq and is a predicted model, not a curated record.
UUCAAUCGAAUUCAAACUCAAUCAUCAUCGUAGCUCAAUCACAAUCUACAACCCUCGUAGCUCAAUCAAUUGUAGCUCAUUCAAGUUGUAACAUUUGUUUUUUGGGAUUCAAACUUCGUUCAUGUGAAGAGGAGCCAAGUAUUGUGUAAGAGACUUGCAAGGAAGGAUUUGCAAAGAAAUGUAGGCCUAUGAUGGUCAAUUAAUGGAAGCAAUAGGUAGGGAUGAUAACAAUUAAAGCUUUCCAAUUGGCUAUGUUAUUGUUGAAGUUGAGACCAAAGACUCAUGAUAAUGGUUCUUACACCUUCUUCUGUAAGAUUUAGAAGGAUUCAAUCAGAAAUCAUAUGCAUUUAUUUAUGACCAUCAAAAGGUAUUACUGCCCAUGUGAACUAGAGACUGUGUGUAAAACAUCUAUAUGGUAAUUGGAAGAAGAAGUACCAUGGACUAUAAUUAAAAGAGGUCAUGUGGGUAACUAAAAGGGCAACUACAAUAUCAACGCGGGAUAGAGCAAUACAAAGAAUGAAAACCUUAAAUUGAAGGUGCAUGGAAGGACGUGUUAGAAGUCCCAACCCAAUAUUCGAACAUAUCACACUUCAAGACCUAUACAAAGUGUGACCUAUUGGUAAACAACAUGUGUGGGGCCUUUAAUAGGUAAAAUUGAAGCAUAGGGACAAGCCUAUAAUCAAUUUAUUGGAAAGGAUCAAACAUUAUAUAACAAAUAGGACAAGUAGCCAAAAUGACUUGUUACAAAGGUAUAAUAGAUGUAUAUGUCCUAGAACUAAGCUAAUAAUUGAUAAGAAUAAAAAACAGGUCUAAGGAUAGUAACAAGAUAAAAAAUACUAAGACAUUUAGUGGAAAAUAAAAAAGAGUAGUUGACGUGGCAAUUCCAAAGGAUGGUAACAAGACAAAAAAUGCUAAGACAAAUAAGGGUGGAAAAAGAAAAAAAGACCAAUGAAAACCAUAUUGAAAUUGCAUAAGGAUCUCAAACACCUCAAGCUACUCAACCUAUUAAAUAUUAGAUGAGUUAGUGAAUUAAGUGGUUUAGGUGAUAUAUUAGAUGAAUUAAGUAGUUUAUGGAUGUAAUAUAUGCUUAUGUGGUAUUUUGAUGACUUUUUAGAAUUAAGUAUUUUGUUGUUUUUGAAUGAACAUCUUUGAUUAUUACAUAUUAGUAUUUUGGUUGUAAUGAACAUUGUUGAUGAUGACAUAUAAGUAUUUUGGUUGUAAUA